This 259-nucleotide ribosomal RNA is filed under the name uncultured prokaryote. Its description in RNAcentral is "partial 16S ribosomal RNA". It matches the Rfam family "Bacterial small subunit ribosomal RNA", at positions 524 to 782 of the family's 1533-position model. The record is from RNAcentral.
UACGUAGGUGGCGAGCGUUAUCCGGAAUUAUUGGGCGUAAAGAGCGCGCAGGUGGUUGAUUAAGUCUGAUGUGAAAGCCCACGGCUUAACCGUGGAGGGUCAUUGGAAACUGGUCGACUUGAGUGCAGAAGAGGGAAGUGGAAUUCCAUGUGUAGCGGUGAAAUGCGUAGAGAUAUGGAGGAACACCAGUGGCGAAGGCGACUCUCUGGUCUGUAACUGACGCUGAGGCUCGAAAGCGUGGGGAGCAAACAGGAUUAGA